RNAcentral lists this ribosomal RNA (119 nucleotides) under Cariama cristata (Red-legged seriema). Lineage: Eukaryota; Metazoa; Chordata; Aves; Cariamiformes; Cariamidae. The record is from RNAcentral.
GCUUAUGGCCAUACCACCGUGAGAACGCCCGAUCUCAUCUGAUCUCGGAAGCUUAACAGGGCAGGGCCCGGUUAGUACUUGGAUGGGAGACUGCCUGGGAAUACCGGGUGCUGUAGGCU